GUCAUCAUUUUUUAUCGAGUUGAUGGAAAAAUUCCAUGGAGUUUCAGAUGAAAUGAAAACAAGGUUGAAAAUCGGAAAUUGAAAAAACGGAACGAUUGAUGAGUUUCGUAUAGUUUCGGGUUGUAUAGUGAAGA
Non-coding RNA from Caenorhabditis elegans, 134 nucleotides. The record is from Ensembl. NCBI's taxonomy places the organism in Eukaryota, Metazoa, Nematoda, Chromadorea, Rhabditida, Rhabditidae.